Molecule: transfer RNA, 73 nt
Filed under: Danio rerio (zebrafish)
Lineage: Eukaryota; Metazoa; Chordata; Actinopteri; Cypriniformes; Danionidae
Rfam family: tRNA
About the family: Transfer RNA (tRNA) molecules are approximately 80 nucleotides in length. Their secondary structure includes four short double-helical elements and three loops (D, anti-codon, and T loops).
Source: Rfam by way of RNAcentral
GCUCGUCUAGUUCAGUUGGUAGAGCAUGAGACCCUUAAUCUCAGGAUUGGGGGUUCGAGCCCCACAUUGGGUG